This 389-nucleotide ribosomal RNA is filed under the name uncultured bacterium. RNAcentral's name for it is "bacterial SSU rRNA". It matches the Rfam family "Bacterial small subunit ribosomal RNA", at positions 28 to 417 of the family's 1533-position model. The record is from RNAcentral.
GACGAACGCUGGCGGCGUGCUUAACACAUGCAAGUCGAACGGAAAGGCCUCUUUCGGGGGGUACUCGAGUGGCGAACGGGUGAGUAACACGUGAGUAACCUGCCCUUGACUUUGGGAUAACUUCAGGAAACUGGGGCUAAUACCGGGAUAGGAGCUCCUGCUGCAUGGUGGGGUUGGAAAGUUUCGGCGGUUGGGGAUGGACUCGCGGCUUAUCAGCUUGUUGGUGGGGUAGUGGCUUACCAAGGCUUUGACGGGUAGCCGGCCUGAGAGGGUGACCGGCCACAUUGGGACUGAGAUACGGCCCAGACUCCUACGGGAGGAAGCAGUGGGGAAUAUUGCACAAUGGGUGGAAGCCUGAUGCAGCAACGCCGUGUGCGGGAUGACGGCCU